CCUCCUUAUCUUGAAGUAAAACGUUUUAAUGAAAGCCUCGGCUUUGCGAGUGUUCACACAAAUUACAUGAUAACAAUUAAAGAUAACCCUGAUGGGGCUAUAGCUCAGCUGGGAGAGCGCCUGCCUUGCACGCAGGAGGUCAGCAGUUCGAUCCUGCUUAGCUCCACCAUCAUUUAUCAUAUAAAGAAAGAAACCAAACUUAACGCAUCAAUGAUUGAUGGUUUAAGUUUGGUUUUUUAAACCAAGUUUUUAACCGAGUGCGCGUUAAUGACUACUUCUUUAACAAUCUGGAAAGCUGAUAUAAAUAUCGGUAUUUAUAUAACAAACACGGUGUCGCGCUGUUGUUUGUAAUAUUAUAAAUACCAAGCUGUUAGUACAUUCUCUUAUCGUGAAUGUGUUAAUGGUGGUAAUGCAUCCCCCCAAGGAUGUGUUAUCGAAUUCAUACUGCUCGCAAGAGCAAGAUGUCUUAUCAAGUAACUCAUCCUAUAUCGCAAGAUAUAGUGAGUACGUGAAAAUGUCAGACUUUACAAUUGCCUUGGAUUAGUCUCC
RNAcentral lists this transfer RNA (549 nucleotides) under uncultured Colwelliaceae bacterium. RNAcentral's name for it is "partial 16S-23S ribosomal RNA intergenic spacer". The stretch from base 94 to 166 matches the Rfam family "tRNA". The record is from RNAcentral. Lineage: Bacteria; Pseudomonadati; Pseudomonadota; Gammaproteobacteria; Alteromonadales; Colwelliaceae.